CGAAUGGAUUGAGAGCUUGCUCUCAAGAAGUUAGCGGCGGACGGGUGAGUAACACGUGGGUAACCUGCCCAUAAGACUGGGAUAACUCCGGGAAACCGGGGCUAAUACCGGAUAACAUUUUGAACUGCAUGGUUCGAAAUUGAAAGGCGGCUUCGGCUGUCACUUAUGGAUGGACCCGCGUCGCAUUAGCUAGUUGGUGAGGUAACGGCUCACCAAGGCAACGAUGCGUAGCCGACCUGAGAGGGUGAUCGGCCACACUGGGACUGAGACACGGCCCAGACUCCUACGGGAGGCAGCAGUAGGGAAUCUUCCGCAAUGGACGAAAGUCUGACGGAGCAACGCCGCGUGAGUGAUGAAGGCUUUCGGGUCGUAAAACUCUGUUGUUAGGGAAGAACAAGUGCUAGUUGAAUAAACUGGCC
Molecule: ribosomal RNA, 419 nt
Filed under: Bacillus sp. (in: firmicutes)
Lineage: Bacteria; Bacillati; Bacillota; Bacilli; Caryophanales; Bacillaceae
Description: bacterial SSU rRNA
Rfam family: Bacterial small subunit ribosomal RNA
Source: RNAcentral